This is a long non-coding RNA of Oryza sativa Japonica Group (Japanese rice), 638 nucleotides long. RefSeq lists it as uncharacterized. The record is from RefSeq and is a predicted model, not a curated record. Lineage: Eukaryota; Viridiplantae; Streptophyta; Magnoliopsida; Poales; Poaceae.
AUUCCUUUCCCCUUGGGAAGUUUCAACCCCCAAGCCACUAUAAAUUCCGGCUCCCACGCAUCGUGCGUUGUAUCUCACACUACUAGCUAGAUCUCACUUGCACCACUCGCAAUUAGUGUUUUCGCAUCAGGACGACAUGGAGGCGUCAGCUGCUGAUCAUCACGGUGGCCACCACCACCAGACGACGAAGAAGAUCAUCAGCCAGGGCUCCGACGGCAUCGGCGGCGGCGGCGGCGGUAAGUCGAGGGUGGACCUGUACGCCGGCGCGGUGGCGCAGCGGGCGCUGUACGGGCCGACGACGACGAGCCGGUGCCGCGGCGCGGCGAGGCAGAGGCAGCAGGCGGUGGCCGGCGGCAAGGACUCCAAGCAGCCCAGCAGGCUGAGCAAGAUGUCCGGGGCGGAGGGCACCUGAUGAUGAAGUAUCUGUCGCGUGUGGUGUUGCAGCGCUUUGCAGAUUGCAGAUUUGCAGUAUGUACUAUGUAUAUUGGUUGUAGUAGCUAGAAGUGACGAUCGCGACCGUCCUUGGUUACAUUUUCGUGUGGCGCUGGGACGAGCUUAACUGGUGCUAGCUGUGUGAUCCUUGUGCAUAUACAGUACAUGUGAUGCUGUUGGAACAAAUAAAUUGAGCUAGUUGGAUA